This 253-nucleotide ribosomal RNA is filed under the name uncultured prokaryote. RNAcentral describes it as "partial 16S ribosomal RNA". It matches the Rfam family "Bacterial small subunit ribosomal RNA", at positions 524 to 776 of the family's 1533-position model. The record is from RNAcentral.
CACGUAGGGGGCGAGCGUUGUCCGGAAUUACUGGGCGUAAAGAGCACGUAGGCGGAUAUUUAAGUCAGAUGUGAAAGACCGCAGCUCAACUGCGGGGUUGCAUUUGAAACUGGGUAUCUUGAGGGCAGGAGAGGGCAGUGGAAUUCCUGGUGUAGCGGUGAAAUGCGUAGAAAUCAGGAGGAACACCAGUGGCGAAGGCGACUGUCUGGACUGACCCUGACGCUGAGGUGCGAAAGCGUGGGUAGCAAACAGG